This 294-nucleotide long non-coding RNA is filed under the name Mustela putorius furo (domestic ferret). RNAcentral's name for it is "lncRNA (ENSMPUG00000030092.1)". The record is from RNAcentral. Lineage: Eukaryota; Metazoa; Chordata; Mammalia; Carnivora; Mustelidae.
CUUGUUCGGAAGUCCUGCUGUCAUGCUUCCGGCAGCCUGCUUUUUUCAGGGGAGGCCAGCUGAGCAGGCAUUUGUCAUGCAAAGAGCAGAGACAUAACAAGGUCCACAGAAGGAAGAUUAAGAGCACAAAAUUAGGCCAUGUGGCAAUAACUGUGACCUGCUGGGAAGCAGUAGCAGCACCUGGGAGAAAUAGGCUCCGUGCCCAACGUGGAACCCAACAUGACCCUGAGAUCAAGACCUGAGCUGAUAUUGAGAGUCGGACCUCCAACCGACUGAGCCACCCAGGUGCCCCAG